GUGUAUGUGUGUGUCAAUCAGUAUGUCUGUCAGUGUAUGUGUCUGUGUGUGUAUGUAUGUAUGUCUGUGUGUGUGUGUGUGUGUGUGUGUCAGUAUGUCUGCCAGGAUAUAUUUGUAUGUCAGUGUAUGUGUGUGUCAGUAUAUAUCUGUGAAUGUUUAAUGUCUGUCUGUAUCAGCCAUUACGUCUGUCUGUGUAUAUGUCAGUAUGCCUGUGUGUGUGUGUGU
Pelobates cultripes (western spadefoot toad) is the source of this 225-nucleotide non-coding RNA. The record is from the annotation of a GenBank genome assembly. Lineage: Eukaryota; Metazoa; Chordata; Amphibia; Anura; Pelobatidae.